CAACCCGUCUCUGUUGCAAAAGAGUGGGAAGAUUUUCAAGUAGAGGUGACAAGCCUAUCGAACUUAGAGAUAGCUGGUUGUUCAGGAAAAGAGUCCAAGCUCUACCUUAAGUUUUUUCAAUUAGCCUAAACAAAAUCCUAAACUUAAGAGCUAUUCAAGUAAGGCACAGCUUACUUGAAACAGGGUACAACCUCCCACAUUGGGUAAACAAGAACAAAUUAAACAAAGUCGGCCUAAGAGCAGCCAUCUUAUAAAAAGCGUUAAAGCUUAACUUAUAUGCACUUAUAAUUCCAAUAGUUACUAUUAACCCCUCAUUACUACUGAACUAUUUUAUAACCUUAUAAAAAUUAUUAUGCUAGAACUAGUAACAUGAAUACUUUUCUCCUUAAUGUAAGCUUAAACCAUAAUGGACCAUCCACUGGUAUUUAACGUAACUGUUCUUAUUAUAGCAACAUACGUCUAGAAAACCCUAUAAUCAAUAACGUUAACCUUACACUAGAACAUUAUAGGAAAGAUUAAAAGAAAGAGAAGGAACUCGGCAAACCCCAGCCCCGCCUGUUUACCAAAAACAUCGCCUCUUGCCUAACAUAAGAGGUCCAGCCUGCCCAGUGACAUAGUUUAACGGCCGCGGUACCCUAACCGUGCGAAGGUAGCAUAAUCACUUGUUCCCUAAAUAGGGACUAGUAUCAAUGGCAUCACGAGGGCUACACUGUCUCCUCUCUCCAAUCAGUGAAACUGAUCUCCCCGUGAAGAAGCGGGGAUUUUAAUAUAAGACGAGAAGACCCCAUGGAGCUUUAAACUUAAUAUACACCUCUACCCAUCUAUACCAAUUAACCCUAAAAGUCUGUGUGUUAGUUUUAGGUUGGGGGGACCGCGGAGUACAACUCAACCUCCACGACAAACGGGCUAACGCCCUUAUCCAUGAAACACAAUUCUAAGAAUCAACAAUCUGAUGUUUUAUGACCCGACAAGUCGAUCAACGAACCAAGUUACCCUGGGGAUAACAGCGCAAUCUA
This 1016-nucleotide ribosomal RNA is filed under the name Glandirana rugosa (Japanese wrinkled frog). Its description in RNAcentral is "Rugosa rugosa (Japanese wrinkled frog) partial 16S ribosomal RNA". It matches the Rfam family "Bacterial large subunit ribosomal RNA", at positions 776 to 2489 of the family's 2925-position model. Lineage: Eukaryota; Metazoa; Chordata; Amphibia; Anura; Ranidae. The record is from RNAcentral.